RNAcentral lists this long non-coding RNA (202 nucleotides) under Sorghum bicolor (sorghum). RNAcentral describes it as "long non-coding RNA (SBIC_LNC012691)". The record is from RNAcentral. Lineage: Eukaryota; Viridiplantae; Streptophyta; Magnoliopsida; Poales; Poaceae.
CACUUCAUGCCGUUGGCUGCAACAAGCGCAAGCGCGCGAGCUGGGCCAGCCCAGGCUAGCCCAAUCGGCUCGCAGCACGCCUUUGUUUUAAUCGCGCAGGCUUUUUAUCCUGCGGCAAAAAAUCUGAUCCCACGAGCCUUCGAAGCUGCGACCAGACGCAACACAAGUAGGAGCGCUACCACUAGGCCAAGUCACCUUUGUU